This is a long non-coding RNA of Ictalurus punctatus (channel catfish), 568 nucleotides long. NCBI's taxonomy places the organism in Eukaryota, Metazoa, Chordata, Actinopteri, Siluriformes, Ictaluridae. The record is from Ensembl.
GUUCAGGCUUUGUCAUGGCGUAAUGAGGUGAAUACCUCAAGGCUAAUUUGUUGUUUUUAUAGUCUUACAGCAGCGCUGGUGGCGCGUGCAUUGAGGCAAAUUGGCGCUGAAGAUCGCGUAAAGUGAUCGCUACAUUUAGCCGGUGGCUGAAUGAUGUGUGUGUCGAGCCGCGUUACCUGAGCUAGUGAGUCUUGGUGGGACAGGGGUGGCUAGCUGCAUUUAUUCAGGAGUGUGCUUCACAGCAUGCUCAGUGUGCCAACACAACAACUUCCUUAUGGUGAAAUACAAUAAAGAAUUGCCAUCCCAGUCCCCUGAAUUGAAACCCAUAGAAAACCUGUGGGGUGAACUGAAGAGGAGGGUCCACUAGAGUCGACCUCGAAAUAUGAAGGAUCUGGAGAGAUUCUGGAGGAACAGUCUCGGAUCCCUUGCCAUGUAUUGUCCAACCUCAUCAGGCAAUAUAGGAGAAGACUCAGAGCUAUUAUCUUGGCAAAGGAAGGUAUCCAACAACAAUCUGGUUGUGCCACCUUUAGCAGUAAUAACUGCAACCAAACGCUUCCGAUAACUGGAG